AUACGUAGGGUGCAAGCGUUAAUCGGAAUUACUGGGCGUAAAGCGUGCGCAGGCGGUUUUGUAAGACAGAGGUGAAAUCCCCGGGCUUAACCUGGGAACUGCCUUUGUGACUGCAAGGCUAGAGGACGGCAGAGGGGGAUGGAAUUCCGCGUGUAGCAGUGAAAUGCGUACAUAUGCGGAGGAACACCGAAGGCGAAGGCAAUCCCCUGGGCCUGUACUGACGCUCAUGCACGAAAGCGUGGGGAGCAAACAGGAUUAGAUACCCUGGUAGUCCACGCCCUAAACGAUGUCAACUGGUUGUUGGGUCUUCAUUGACUCAGUAACGAAGCUAACGCGUGAAGUUGACCGCCUGGGGAGUACGGCCGCAAGGUUGAAACUCAAAUGAAUUGGCGGGG
Molecule: ribosomal RNA, 395 nt
Filed under: uncultured bacterium
Lineage: Bacteria
Description: partial 16S ribosomal RNA
Rfam family: Bacterial small subunit ribosomal RNA
Source: RNAcentral